GACGUAGGGUGCGAGCGUUGUCCGGAUUUACUGGGCGUAAAGAGCGCGCAGGCGGUCGUGCAAGUCGCGUGUGAAAGCCCCCGGCUCAACUGGGGAGGGUCACGCGAUACUGCUCGACUCGAAGGCAGGAGAGGGAAGUGGAAUUCCCGGUGUAGUGGUGAAAUGCGUAGAUAUCGGGAGGAACACCAGUGGCGAAGGCGACUUCCUGGCCUGUUCUUGACGCUGAGGCGCGAAAGCUAGGGUAGCAAACGGG
This 253-nucleotide ribosomal RNA is filed under the name uncultured bacterium. RNAcentral describes it as "partial 16S ribosomal RNA". It matches the Rfam family "Bacterial small subunit ribosomal RNA", at positions 524 to 776 of the family's 1533-position model. The record is from RNAcentral.